UUGACCUCGGAUCAGUA
RNAcentral lists this ribosomal RNA (17 nucleotides) under Curvularia eragrostidis. RNAcentral's name for it is "partial 28S ribosomal RNA". The record is from RNAcentral. Lineage: Eukaryota; Fungi; Ascomycota; Dothideomycetes; Pleosporales; Pleosporaceae.